GAUGAACGCUGGCGGCGUGCCUAAUACAUGCAAGUCGAGCGAACAGACGAGGAGCUUGCUCCUUCGACGUUAGCGGCGGACGGGUGAGUAACACGUAGGUAACCACCUUUUAAAACGGGGUUAACUUCGGGAACCCGGGGUUAAUCCGGAUUAAUAUUUCGACCCCAUGGUUUCAUUGGUAAAAAAUGGCUUUCCUAUCACUUAUAGAUGAACUGCGCCGUAUUAGCUAGUUGGUAAGGUAACGGCUUACCAAGGCAACGAUACGUAGCCGACCUGAGAGGGUGAUCGGCCACACUGGAACUGAGACACGGUCCAGACUCCUACGGGAGGCAGCAGUAGGGAAUCUUCCGCAAUGGGCGAAAGCCUGACGGAGCAACGCCGCGUGAGUGAUGAAGGUCUUCGGAUCGUAAAACUCUGUUAUUAGGGAAGAACAAACGUGUAAGUAACUGUGCACGUCUUGACGGUACCUAAUCAGAAAGCCACGGCUAACUACGUG
Molecule: ribosomal RNA, 496 nt
Filed under: uncultured bacterium
Lineage: Bacteria
Description: partial 16S ribosomal RNA
Rfam family: Bacterial small subunit ribosomal RNA
Source: RNAcentral